UGGGGAAUAUUGCACAAUGGGCGCAAGCCUGAUGCAGCCAUGCCGCGUGUAUGAAGAAGGCCUUCGGGUUGUAAAGUACUUUCAGCGGGGAGGAAGGUGUUGAGGUUAAUAACCUCAGCAAUUGACGUUACCCGCAGAAGAAGCACCGGCUAACUCCGUGCCAGCAGCCGCGGUAAUACGGAGGGUGCAAGCGUUAAUCGGAAUUACUGGGCGUAAAGCGCACGCAGGCGGUCUGUCAAGUCGGAUGUGAAAUCCCCGGGCUCAACCUGGGAACUGCAUUCGAAACUGGCAGGCUGGAGUCGUGUAGAGGGGGGUAGAAUUCCAGGUGUAGCGGUGAAAUGCGUAGAGAUCUGGAGGAAUACCGGUGGCGAAGGCGGCCCCCUGGACAAAGACUGACGCUCAGGUGCGAAAGCGUGGGGAGCAAACAG
Molecule: ribosomal RNA, 428 nt
Filed under: uncultured bacterium
Lineage: Bacteria
Description: bacterial SSU rRNA
Rfam family: Bacterial small subunit ribosomal RNA
Source: RNAcentral